GUGUGUGUGUGUGUGUGUGUGUGUGUGUGUGUGUGUGUGAGAAAGUGUUGAGUCGCUCCCAGGCGCAGCCAGCAGGGGGCAGCAGAGUCAUAGUUAUUAAUGUUUAAUAUAACCAGAAGUGGCUGACGUGUUUUCUUGGUUCUGCUGGUUGUGGAGUCUUUGUAGAAACUUGACUCCAGCUUUCAGAUAUUAACACUGAGGUAAAAAUACAAAAUGUAGUUUGAAUCUUUACCUUUUCUGACAAAUUUGAUAAAAAAAACCCUCCAGGGACGUGACGUCAAGACCAGAGACACAGAGUGAAUGUCCUCGCUGCUUCUCAGGACGCUUCAUGAUGUUUCCCUCAGGAGACAGUUGGACGUCGGUGGAGCUCUGAGACAUUCUGUUUCAUCCAGUUCUGACCUCAGCGACAGUUUCUCGGAGCCUCCUCCUCCGUCCUCCAUCCCCCCGCCUGUGGCUCCAUCCAGUUCUGCAGCUCUGGUUCCUCGGGGAGAAUCGCUCCUGACGUGUUUUCCAUUGCGUUGGUGCAGCGUGUCGUCGCAGCUCUGGCUCCGUGCAGUCGUUCCGUUGCUGCUCUCUGGGCUCUGGUUUGGUGAAGCUUCCCGGCUCCGGAUCACCAGAGGGGAAAAUAGCUUCAGUGUGUUUUUUACAAUCAGAGCAGCGGUAACUCUCGUUCCUCUUCGCUGCACUCAAACUGCCUCUGUGUUUCAAACGCAUCCUUCUCAAUAAAAGCCUUAAAGUUA
Long non-coding RNA from Scophthalmus maximus (turbot), 740 nucleotides. RefSeq lists it as uncharacterized. Lineage: Eukaryota; Metazoa; Chordata; Actinopteri; Pleuronectiformes; Scophthalmidae. The record is from RefSeq and is a predicted model, not a curated record. The transcript has 2 exons.